This 331-nucleotide ribosomal RNA is filed under the name uncultured eukaryote. RNAcentral describes it as "partial 18S ribosomal RNA". It matches the Rfam family "Eukaryotic small subunit ribosomal RNA", at positions 1470 to 1797 of the family's 1831-position model. The record is from RNAcentral.
CCCUUAGAUGUUCUGGGCCGCACGCGCGCUACACUGAUGCAUUCAACGAGUCUAAAACCUGGUCUGAUAGGGCUGGGUAAUCUUUUGAAAGUGCAUCGUGAUUGGGAUAGAUGAUUGCAAUUCUUCAUCUUCAACGAGGAAUGCCUAGUAAACGCAAGUCAUCAGCUUGCAUUGAUUACGUCCCUGCCCUUUGUACACACCGCCCGUCGCUCCUACCGAUUGAAUGAUCCGAUGAAUACCAUGGAUUGAGAGUACGAAUAGGUUCGCUUAUUUCUGCUGCUCGAGAAGUGGAGUAAAUCUUAUCAUUUAGAGGAAGGAGAAGUCGUAACAA